This 2386-nucleotide long non-coding RNA is filed under the name Ananas comosus (pineapple). Its description in RNAcentral is "long non-coding RNA (ACOM_LNC020907)". Lineage: Eukaryota; Viridiplantae; Streptophyta; Magnoliopsida; Poales; Bromeliaceae. The record is from RNAcentral.
GGAAUAAUAAUUUUCAAAUUUCUGAAAUAAGUUGACAUAAUGCUGUAAUUAUUGUUUCACCUUUUUUUUUAAUUAUUAUUUAUUACUAAAUAAUAAAAUAGAUAGCACGCUAUUCGUUUCGUUUAUUUCAUUUUGAAAUAAACUUAGCUUGAAAAUGUGAAUCAACUAGGAUUCAAACUUGGGACCUCGGGUACCGACCACCAAACCCUUUGCCACUUGCUCCAAGGACGGUCGGUAUUAAUUACAUAAUGGAUAAAUAAUAAUAAUUAUUGAUUUAUUAUUUAUAAUUAAUUAUUAAUACUUUGAUAAUUAAUAUUAUUAAUUUAUUAUUUAUAAUUAAUUAUUAAUAAUUAAUUAUAAUUAUUAUUAUUUAUUAAUAAUAUUAUUAUUAUUAUUAAUUACAUAAUGGAUAUUAUUAUUAAUUAAUAAUUAGAUAAUCGAUAUUAUUAUUAAUUUAUUAUUUAUUAAUAUUUAUUAAUAUUUAUAACUAAUUAUUAAUAAUUUAUUUAUUAUUUAUUUUUAAGUAAUAUUUUGAUGCUAAUUAAUUAGAUAACGUAAUUUUAAUUUCAAAUUAUAACUCUUAUUCCUCUUGUUCCAAUCUAACCAUCCAAACACUAUUUACCUUAUUCCUAGCAACAACGCAAUUUUCAUCCAAACGCAAACUUGGUCUAGUUUCUGCUUAUACCUGAACUUGUACAUGUCUCUGGAACAAGCAGUUCUUUACUUAUACCAGAACCAAAUGCAACCAAAGUGUUUUUUAAUUUGUAAUUUUAAUGGUGGAUAUGAGACGUUUUCUCAUUUAAUGGUGUAAAACUAUCUAAAUCAAUUGAAUUUUGAUUAGAAAAUUCUUUAAACCAUUUAGAACAAGAUCUAUACUCUCGAUCUUGAUUAUAAAAUUCAUAUCAUCAUUUUUUAGAGAAUAUUCAUUUUUAGCCGUUCAUUUUUACGCCCACUUGAUAGAUAAGAGAACAAUAUCGAAAAAAUAUGAAAUUUGAUUUUUAAAUACUUUAAGUGGUAUAGAUCAUUUUCAACGGUGCCAAUCGUCGAUUUGGAGGCUUUAUCAUCGAAAACAAAUAGGUGGCAAUAGAGCUUGUUUACUACCGAUAGUAUUCCAGCUCAACUAUGUAUAUUUAUAUAUAUAUAUAGAGAGAGAGAGAGAGAGAGAGAGUACGGCUAUAGUGUUUGUAAAAGCACCAAGCAUUUUGUGCUUGUGAAUUUUUUACCGUUAAAUCUACGCUUUUGUUAGAUUAUACUAUUCAACCAAACACCCUGUAAGGGUUGAGAUUUUGGCAAUGUAGCUAAACUUUCUGUUGAUGAUGUUUUUGUAUGUAAUUUAAUUACAUAAGCACUCGUCAAGUUUUAGGAAAAAACGAGUUAGAACGGAAAUGUUACGCGAUCAAUACUAAUCACUUAAAGUGAAUAGUAACUCCGGUUCUCCGGAGAGGCUGAUGAGUGGAGGUGGCUUCUGGUGCGUAUCGGACUCCGUUCAUAGCGAUCCAGUAGCUCGUUUUGAAUAGUUCAGCUAUUCUAGAACCAUUGGCGCUGACGGAUUUCAGAUCUGAUGCACGAUUUUCGAGAAAACUAGAGAUACAUAUAAAUUAUGUAUUUAUGUGUGGUUUUUGGUUUUUUGAGAGUGGAUGGGUUUUGUCGUGAAUCUGUGAUCAAAACAGGCAAAACAAAAUCGUAGUUUUGAUGUCUCUGUCGUGCUGACUGCGUCAGUACAAUCUAUUCGGAAAUCCGACGAACGGAUCGCCGAAUAUUGCAUGAUGAUCGGGAAGGGGUCGAAAGUGACAAAUCAGAACUUCGCAAAAGUCAUAACAUUUUAUGUAUCGUUUUGCGUGAAAUCGAGCGUGGAGGUGCGUACACGCGUUAUACACGCGCUGUGAGGGACUUAGUUGAAAAUAAUCAACUAUGGAGGACUUUUGUGCAAAAAUGCCAUUUCUAUAAAUAGACUAUUGUCUGCCACCACGAAUGACGUACAUCGCACGGGGAAUUUUUAUCUUUUGGUUCUCCCGUGGGAUAGUAUUCAUGAUGUAGAUUAAAGUAUGUGUAUAUAUGGUUAUCAGGUAAUGCGAAUCCAUGGCUUCCAAUAAACGCAAGCGUCUAUUGUUAAUUACCCCUAUAGAAUAUUAGGGCACCUUCGAUUAAGAGACCUCUGAAAUGCUGAAGAUAAACUGGAAUUGGACAAAAGGAAAUUUAUAAUUUAUUGCUCAAUUACAUUGGCUUUAACCAAGGGCAUACCCUCAGUGUACAUGAAUAGAGCGUAAAGAAAAUGUAUUUUUCAAUUGUAUCUUAAUUAUAUAUUCUAAGAUACCCAAUAUAUGGUCAAAUUAAUUUUGUUGGACUCUAUAUGUUGUGGAGCUCAACACUAUUCACCCUAAGAUGA